Long non-coding RNA from Beta vulgaris subsp. vulgaris (sugar beet), 3157 nucleotides. RefSeq lists it as uncharacterized. The transcript has 5 exons. Lineage: Eukaryota; Viridiplantae; Streptophyta; Magnoliopsida; Caryophyllales; Amaranthaceae. The record is from RefSeq and is a predicted model, not a curated record.
UUCUCUUUGGUGGAAAUGUUUUUGCUUUGCAAUGCAUGGCCUUAGAUAUUUGUUCCAAGUGUUUCCUAACCACCUCUCUUACCCUUUUCCUGGUAUGAUAGGAUGCUUCAUGAAUUAUGCUUGGUUGGACCACAAAUAUCAUUUCUUUCAUCCAUAGACCAUGAUCUGGGAUGAGUUGCUCUCUUGUGCCAAAUUUCUCAAAUUUCUUUGAGACUUGGGCCGUGAUUGGUCUCCAUUUUUUUCUGGAUGCCUAUCUUAGUUUCCCCAAACUCAUUGCUUAUUCUCAAGGCUGAACUUACACCAACGAUGUCUACAUGAUUACAUCUAUCAAAUCAAGUAUAAGCUUGUUUUACUGGAUUGUGUUGUAUAUGAAAAGCAUUGUUUCCCUGAGAUGUACUUUUUAUUAUCUUUGAUUGAUAGCUCCCUGGGCUAGAUAUAUUUCCAUGAAAACGACGGCAAGUUUGUCUGAUGUGUUGUGUACUGUUCAAUCUGAAUUUGAACCAUUGAUCAACCUUCCGUUCACAUGUUAUGUGUUUAUUCUACUUCGUGGAGAUGUACGCAUAAAACCUUAUCAAUUAUUGAUUGUAGGGUUCUAUUUCAUGGGUGGAGGGUCUAAAUCCUCUUGGGGGUGGCUACUGGGUAGAGCCUAGACGAAACUGUAUUGUAUGUACUUUUUUUUGGUUACUAGAUACUAGCAUCCACCUUAGCAAGAAGCCUCUGCAGGGUAGAUGCAUUCAAGAAUGUCUAUUACGUGAAAGGAGACAACUGCACAUCAAAAAUAGAUUUUAGAUCAUUGAAUUUCUCUCUCUUUUGCAGUAGAUUCUAAUAAAGGCGUGUAAAUUUCUGUUAAUGGGUUUAUGCUGAAGUUUUAAGAUCUUGAAGACUCUGCCUUUUCAUUUUAUGUUGCUGAUCUAUUGGGAAAGUAACCAACAGACUUGAAGAUUAAGACUUCUAAUCUUGUCCUUAUGUAUUUGGCAAAGGAUCAGGUUUGUACUCUCUUUUAAAUCUAACCAUAAUGACAUUUAGAGGGAAAUAUGUAAUAACUUUCAAGUUGUACAUGCCUAAAUGUUAAACUAUUUCCUAAAUGUUUUUGGUUUCUCUCUUUUCACUUAGUUUAUUUUAUUCUCUUUAACCACUUUUAUUUUUGUGAGCCUUGCCUAUAUUGUAGGAGAUGACUUAUCGAGGGAAGAGAACGAGGGAUAUACAUGCCUCAUAUACUAAACCUAAUUCGUCUUCGGAGUCACCAACCUCAAACAACUUACCUUUGGCCGAAAAUGCAUCACAACCAACCAAAAAAAACAACUCCAAUCACAACCACUUCAAGUUCCUUCUUGUGUUAGACUUGGACCAUUUAGUCCAUCGAGUACCAUUGCGUCUAAGGUUCAACCUCCAUGUUUGAACACAACAAAAAGUCCACCACCACCACUAUCAGGAGCUACAUGAAAAAAUCCACCUUCUAUUGUUCAAAAUUUAAAACAAUCCCACCUACGUCCACUGGUCAUAAAUCAUAUAGUAUUCCGCCUUCUACUCAUAUCUCCCCUACUAUUCCAUCUCACAACGACCCAUCUUCUACUGCACCAAAAUCACUCAUUAACCCUUCUACUUCCAUUGGUCAUAAGUCACGUAGUAUUCUUCCUUCUACUCAUAUCUCCCCUACUAUUCCAUCUCACAGUGACCUAUCUUCUACUGCACCAAAAUCACUCAUUAACCCUUCUACUUCCACUGGUCAUAAGUCACGUAGUAUUCCGCCUUCUACUCAUAUCUCCCCUACUAUUCUAUCACACAACGACCCAUCUUCUACUGUACCAAAAUCACACAUUAACCCUUCUACUUCCACUGGUCAUAAGUCACGUAGUAUUCCGCCUUCUACUCAUAUCUCCCCUACUAUUCCAUCCCAAAAAGGAUCAUCUUCUACUACACCAAAACCACUCAAAAACCCUUCUACUAGCUAUGGUCCUAUCCCACCUUCUGAUCAUAUUGAUACAUCAACAAGAAAUUGUUAGACUCAUCAAACAAACCAAAAAGGUGGUGAAGAACCAUUACAUAAGUCAAAAACAUCAAAAUCCCUACGGUCAGAGUCGUAUCCAUAUUGGACUUUAGAUGUAGAUUUUGAUGACAAGGAGGAGGUUAUGACCAAGGAUGCUCAGGGUAACAUAGCACUGGUUAGUAGUUCUAUUCCGAUAAUGGAUGUGUUGAGUAACAACGGUGUCAAAUAUUGCGUUGAAUUCAAUGAUUUUUGCCAACGACUUAGGAAAGGUGGAAAUAUGUUUGAUUAAAUUCAUUGGCAGCAUUGCAAAGGUUGAAACAUACUGUCCAGUUGGAGAAUCAAAUUGGCAUUAUGACGAUAAGAAUCUCAAAGCUAAGAUGGUAGAUUAGAUCAAAGAAGAUGAGCAUGGGGAAAAAAUGAGCUUGCUAGCUCUCUGGAAAAAAACUCAUAUGGGCAAGGAUGGAAGCUUUCAACCGGAAACCGACACAGCAGAUUUUGUGUUGGAAUCGUUGAAACAAGCAUGCCCUUCUAAGUCUGACUUAAAACCCGAAGAUGAAACCUUUGAGCACACCAUGUAUGGUGGAGAGAUUCCAGAACGUCCUGUAGGUUAUGGACUUGGAGUUCGAAAGGGCAACAUUUACGGUGUGCAUGGUGUUCUGAAUAAGCAAAAGGUUCAAAAGAGGACCGUGGUAGUGGAGAAGGAUAAAAAAAAAAAUUUCCGUUCUUAAGAAGGAGAAUAGCUUGUGGAAAGCCCAAGUUCAAGAGAACAACUCUGUACUCAAAACUUUAGUUGGACAAUUUUUUCAACUAGUAGGUAAACUUCAUAAAGGAGAGGCUUCAAUGCACCUUUUAGAUUGUGCACAAGCAGUCUUGGAAGUGACAAACCAAAAGGUACUCGAAAAUAAUAAAGGUCCAACAUAUCAAGAACGGGAGGACACUACUUGCGACUUCAAAUUGGCUACCAUCAUUGUUUUGCUAGAUCUUAGUAUUAGUUAGCUUUGUAAGGCUACAACUACAUUUUUAGUGUGUCUUAAUUUUGUGGUAUUUUUAGAAACAUAUUUAGUUAUGAAGUAUUGGGAUUUGAUGAACGUAACGUGUGUAGGGAUUUUAAUUGUACGAACUACGUUUAUGAUUUAUGAUAUGAUAAUAUAUACAUUAUUGUUCGAAGUA